UGAGCUAAAAUGCAGACGAGUCCUACAACAUAUAGAUGCAAUGAAAGGUUGUCUAUCAAAUUUCAAAAUGUACAUAUUUUAAAUUUUUUAGUCUGGCAUUAUAGUUUGGGAAAAGUUCAACAAGUGAAUGUGUAAGUUUAUGUCACAGUUUUAACACUAUUAACAUAAGUUUAAAAAAAUGACUCAGAAUGAGAUCGUCCGCUGGAUUAAGCUGUGACUCGCAUCGCAUUCUUCUUCUUUUGAGAGCUGUUGUGGACAUUUACAUGUCCGCGCAUCUCAAGCUUGGUUUUGCAUGGAUAAAUAUCUUAUAGCGCACGGUGUAAUGAACAUGAUCAUAUUAUAGAUGAGCUCAGACGGGGAAAGACUGUACCUUGCAUUGGUUUCAUACAGAUUAUUUUAUCAGAGAAUAUUUGUUUUCGAUAUGACUUAGCUUAAUUUAAUAACAU
Long non-coding RNA from Carassius carassius (crucian carp), 446 nucleotides. RefSeq lists it as uncharacterized. The record is from RefSeq and is a predicted model, not a curated record. The transcript is spliced from 3 exons. NCBI's taxonomy places the organism in Eukaryota, Metazoa, Chordata, Actinopteri, Cypriniformes, Cyprinidae.